AUGAAGCUCAUCGCUUGGAAUUGCCGGGGGUUGGGGAACAACCCGGCAAUUACGGGUCUUCUGGACAUCCAGAAGAGGGAGGACCCCGACGUACUUUUCUUGUCGGAGACGAGGAUGAUACAGGAUAGGAUUGAUUGGCUAAGGUGGAAGCUGGGCAUGCCACAUAUGGUGGUUAAGGAUUGUUGCGGGAAGGGAGGGGGAGGUGGUUUAGCGCUAUUCUGGAAGAGGGAUGUUGAUGUGAAGCUCACCGGGUUUGUGUCUCGGUAUCAUAUCGAUACUGAUAUUAUGGAGCAGGAUGGCUAUGUCUGGCGUUUUACGGGGAUCUACGGUGAACCAAAGAUGGAGUUGAAAGACCAAACAUGGAAGCUGUUGCGCACGUUAAAGAACCAGAAUAAUAAGCCUUGGCUGUGCGCCAGCACUUUCAAUGAGGUUCUGCACUCGUGGGAAAAGGAGGGAGGAGUGACCCGUUCUCAGGCUAGUAUGGACAAGUUCAAGAUGGCCCUGGAGGACUGCGAGCUACAUGAUCUGGGGUUUAUAGGUGAUGUGUUCACGUGGAGAAAUCAUAAUCAUAAUCCCAGCGAUACGUUCACGAGAGACUUGGCCGAGCUGUUGCGUCACAGUCCUGGAGGGACAGAUUCCCAGGUGUGA
RNAcentral lists this ribosomal RNA (648 nucleotides) under Triticum aestivum (bread wheat). RNAcentral's name for it is "partial small subunit ribosomal RNA". Lineage: Eukaryota; Viridiplantae; Streptophyta; Magnoliopsida; Poales; Poaceae. The record is from RNAcentral.